UCAAGUCUUUAAGAGCAAACGGUGGAUGCCUUGGCAUCUGGAGCCGAAGAAGGACGUAGCAAUCUGCGAUAAGCCUCGGGGAGUGGAUAAGCACACUGUGAUCCGAGGGUCUCCGAAUGGGGAAACCCCGCCAGGCGUUUGUGCGACCUGGUGACUCCCGCCUGAAUAUAUAGGGCGGGUAGAGGGAACGUGGGGAAGUGAAACAUCUCAGUACCCACAGGAAGAGAAAACAACAGUGAUUCCGUGAGUAGUGGCGAGCGAAAGCGGAUGAGGCUAAACCGGGUGUGUGUGAUAGCCGGCAGGCGUUGCAUGCCCGGGGUUGUGGGACUUUUCUGGACAUUCUGCCGAGUGUUCGACGUGAUGUGACGGUAUAGACGAAUGGUCUUGAAAGGCCAGCCAUAGUGGGUGCCAGCCCCGUAGUCGAAAUGCCGCUCGCAGCGUGAAGAGUAUCCCAAGUAGCACGGGGCCCGAGAAAUCCCGUGUGAAUCUGUCAGGACCACCUGAUAAGCCUAAAUACUCCCAGAUGACCGAUAGCGGACAAGUACCGUGAGGGAAAGGUGAAAAGUACCCCGGGAGGGGAGUGAAAUAGUACCUGAAACCGUUUGCUUACAAACCGUUGGAGCCUCCUUAGUAGGGGUGACAGCGUGCCUUUUGAAGAAUGAGCCUGCGAGUUAGUGAUAUGUGGCGAGGUUAACCCGUGUGGGGUAGCCGUAGCGAAAGCGAGUCUGAAUAGGGCGAUUCAGUCGCAUGUCCUAGACCCGAAGCGAAGUGAUCUAUCCAUGGCCAGGUUGAAGCGCGUGUAAGAACGCGUGGAGGACCGAACCCACUUAGGUUGAAAACUGAGGGGAUGAGCUGUGGAUAGGGGUGAAAGGCCAAUCAAACUUCGUGAUAGCUGGUUCUCUCCGAAAUGCAUUUAGGUGCAGCGUUGCGUGUUUCUUGCCGGAGGUAGAGCUACUGGAUGGCCGAUGGGCCUCACCAGGUUACUGACGUCAGCCAAACUCCGAAUGCCGGUAAGUGAGAGCGCAGCAGUGAGACUGUGGGGGAUAAGCUUCAUAGUCGAGAGGGAAACAACCCAGACCACCAUCUAAGGUCCCAAAGCGCGUGCUAAGUGGAAAAGGAUGUGGAGUUGCUUAGACAACCAGGAGGUUGGCUUAGAAGCAGCCACCCUUGAAAGAGUGCGUAAUAGCUCACUGGUCAAGUGAUUCCGCGCCGACAAUGUAACGGGGCUCAAGCACGCCACCGAAGUUGUGGCAUUGACAUUUUUGGUAGGCCUUCGUGGUCCAGCCGUGUUGAUGGGUAGGAGAGCGUCGUGUGGCGAGUGAAGCGGCGGUGUGAACCAGCCGUGGACGCCACACGAGUGAGAAUGCAGGCAUGAGUAGCGAAAGACGUGUGAGAAACACGUCCUCCGGAAGACCAAGGGUUCCAGGGUCAAGCUAAUCUUCCCUGGGUAAGUCGGGACCUAAGGCGAGGCCGACAGGCGUAGUCGAUGGACAACGGGUUGAUAUUCCCGUACCGGCGAAGAACCGCCCAAACCAAUCCAGUGAUGCUAAGUGUCCGAAGCCAUCCAUCGUCACCUUCGGGUGACACCGGGUGGUGGAGCACACGACCCUAUGCUGGUGCGGUUAGCGUAUUAACAGGUGUGACGCAGGAAGGUAGCCCAUGCCAGGCGAUGGUUGUCCUGGUGCAAGUGCGUAGGCCGAGUCGUAGGCAAAUCCGCGACUCAUACAGGCUGAGACACGAUGCGGAUGAAAAGUGGGUGAUCCUAUGCUGCCGAGAAAAGCAUCGACGCGAGGUUCAAGCCGCCCGUACCCCAAACCGACUCAGGUGGUCAGGUAGAGAAUACCAAGGAGAUCGAGAGAAUCGUGGUUAAGGAACUCGGCAAAAUGCCCCCGUAACUUCGGGAGAAGGGGGGCCAUCCACUUAUACCGUCUUGCACGGGAAAGGGUGUGGUGGCCGCAGAGACUAGUGGGUAGCGACUGUUUACUAAAAACACAGGUCCGUGCGAAGACGCAAGUCGAUGUAUACGGACUGACGCCUGCCCGGUGCUGGAAGGUUAAGAGGACCGGUUAGCCGCAAGGCGAAGCUGAGAAUUUAAGCCCCAGUAAACGGCGGUGGUAACUAUAACCAUCCUAAGGUAGCGAAAUUCCUUGUCGGGU
RNAcentral lists this ribosomal RNA (2156 nucleotides) under Klebsiella pneumoniae. RNAcentral's name for it is "bacterial LSU rRNA". It matches the Rfam family "Bacterial large subunit ribosomal RNA", at positions 3 to 1977 of the family's 2925-position model. Lineage: Bacteria; Pseudomonadati; Pseudomonadota; Gammaproteobacteria; Enterobacterales; Enterobacteriaceae. The record is from RNAcentral.